Molecule: ribosomal RNA, 394 nt
Filed under: uncultured Barnesiella sp.
Lineage: Bacteria; Pseudomonadati; Bacteroidota; Bacteroidia; Bacteroidales; Barnesiellaceae
Description: bacterial SSU rRNA
Rfam family: Bacterial small subunit ribosomal RNA
Source: RNAcentral
UGAGGAAUAUUGGUCAAUGGGCGCGAGCCUGAACCAGCCAAGUCGCGUGAGGGAAGACGGCCCUACGGGUUGUAAACCUCUUUUGCCGGGGAGCAACGCUGCGGACGCGUCCGCAGGUGAGAGUACCCGGAGAAAAAGCAUCGGCUAACUCCGUGCCAGCAGCCGCGGUAAUACGGAGGAUGCGAGCGUUAUCCGGAUUUAUUGGGUUUAAAGGGUGCGUAGGCCGGCUGUCAAGUCAGCGGUAAAAAUUCGGGGCUCAACCCCGUAAAGCCGUUGAAACUGGCGGUCUUGAGUAGCGGCGAGGCAUGCGGAAUGCGAGGUGUAGCGGUGAAAUGCUUAGAUAUGUCACAGAACCCCGAUUGCGAAGGCAGCUUACCAGCAUGCAACUGACACU